This 253-nucleotide ribosomal RNA is filed under the name uncultured bacterium. Its description in RNAcentral is "partial 16S ribosomal RNA". It matches the Rfam family "Bacterial small subunit ribosomal RNA", at positions 524 to 776 of the family's 1533-position model. The record is from RNAcentral.
UACAGAGGUGGCAAGCGUUGUUCGGAAUUACUGGGCGUAAAGCGUGCGCAGGCGGUUUUGUAAGCCAGAUGUGAAAUCCCCGGGCUUAACCUGGGAAUGGCAUUUGGGACUGCAAGGCUGGAGUUUGGCAGAGGAGACUGGAAUUCCCGGUGUAGCAGUGAAAUGCGUAGAUAUCGGGAGGAAUACCGAUGGCGAAGGCAGGUCUCUGGGCUAUAACUGACGCUCAUGCACGAAAGCGUGGGGAGCAAACAGG